This 164-nucleotide ribosomal RNA is filed under the name uncultured bacterium. RNAcentral's name for it is "partial 16S ribosomal RNA". It matches the Rfam family "Bacterial small subunit ribosomal RNA", at positions 355 to 511 of the family's 1533-position model. The record is from RNAcentral.
UAGGGAAUCUUCCACAAUGGACGAAAGCCUGAUGGAGCAACGCCGCGUGAGUGAAGAAGGGUUUCGGCUCGUAAAACUCUGUUGUUAAAGAAGAACAUAUCUGAGAGUAACUGUUCAGGUAUUGACGGUAUUUAACCAGAAAGCCACGGCUAACUACGUGCCAG